RNAcentral lists this ribosomal RNA (441 nucleotides) under uncultured bacterium. RNAcentral's name for it is "partial 16S ribosomal RNA". It matches the Rfam family "Bacterial small subunit ribosomal RNA", at positions 339 to 795 of the family's 1533-position model. The record is from RNAcentral.
CUACGGGAGGCUGCAGUGGGGAAUAUUGGGCAAUGGGCGCAAGCCUGACCCAGCAACGCCGCGUGAGGGAAGAAGGUUUUCGGAUUGUAAACCUCUGUCCUUGGGGACGAAGAAGUGACGGUACCCAAGGAGGAAGCUCCGGCUAACUACGUGCCAGCAGCCGCGGUAAUACGUAGGGAGCAAGCGUUGUCCGGAAUUACUGGGCGUAAAGGGGGCGUAGGCGGCAUAUUAAGUCAGGUGUGAAAUACUCGGGCUCAACCCGAGGGGUGCAUUUGAAACUGAUAAGCUUGAGUGUGAGAGAGGAAAGUGGAAUUCCUAGUGUAGCGGUGGAAUGCGUAGAUAUUAGGAGGAACACCAGUGGCGAAGGCGACUUUCUGGCUCAUAACUGACGCUGAGGCACGAAAGCGUGGGGAGCAAACAGGAUUAGAUACCCUCGUAGUC